This is a long non-coding RNA of Nannospalax galili (Upper Galilee mountains blind mole rat), 733 nucleotides long. RefSeq lists it as uncharacterized. The record is from RefSeq and is a predicted model, not a curated record. Lineage: Eukaryota; Metazoa; Chordata; Mammalia; Rodentia; Spalacidae. The transcript has 3 exons.
CAGUUGCCCUCUUUCCAGAUGGAUGUGCUGUGAUUGGCUGAAUAGCUUGCCACGAUCAGAAGUGUGGGCCAGAGGGAAACAGACAACCACAGAGAUGAAAAUCGGUUUCCUCAUUACGAGUACAGAUCUGUCUGUAGGACUUGUCAAUCAUCAAACGGUGGUGCAGCCUGGUGGCAUGACUCACAAGGCUGAGCUGAUGUUGGGAGAGGGGACUUGUGUUUCCUGGGAACUUCACAGUUUUACAUGGGAGCUACAGUAUUUCUUGGAAGAGGUCUUAAUUCACAUGACGUCAGACUACGAAAUGGCAUUGAAGGAUUCAUUCCCCAAACAUUAACUCAAGAACUACACUUGAAUGUCUGCUGUGAGCCAGCAGUCUUCCAGGAGAAUACAGCUUAUCCUCCCCAGCAAACUGACCCUGAGGACAGUAAAUUACUGUGCAGGAAGCAAAAGAUGUGCUACACAGUCACAGGAGAGCUGUUUUAUGUUGAAGAGUUGGAACAAAACUCACAGAAGCAACAUUGAAUGAGUUAGUUCUGAGUGGCUAGGAGUGAACUAUGCAUGGGUCAGUGGACAAGUAAAAGGGAUGAACAAAAUGAUGUGAUGAUGAAGACAACGACUAUGAUGAUGGUGAUGAUGAUGACAGUGACUCGGAAGAUAAUGACGAUGAAGAUGAAGACAAUGAUGGUGAGGAAAAUGACUAUGAUGAUGAUGAUUAUGAGGACAGUGACUGAUG